AUUGAAAGCUGGCGGCAGGCCUAACACAUGCAAGUCGAACGAGUGGCGGACGGGUGAGUAAUGUCUGGGAAACUGCCUGAUGGAGGGGGAUAACUACUGGAAACGGUAGCUAAUACCGCAUACCAUCGGAUGUGCCCAGAUGGGAUUAGCUAGUAGGUGGGGUAAAGGCUCCCCUAGGCGACGAUCCCUAGCUGGUCUGAGAGGAUGACCAGCCACCCUGGAACUGUGAAACGGUCCAAACUCCUACGGGAGGCAGCAGUGGGGAAUAUUUCACAAUUGGCGCAAGCCUUAUUCAGCCAUGCCGCGGGUAUGAAGAAGGCCUUCGGGUUGUAAAGUACUUUCAGCGGGGAGGCGUUACCCGCAGAAGAAGCACCGGCUAACUCCGUGCCAGCCGCCGCGGUAAUUC
This 406-nucleotide ribosomal RNA is filed under the name uncultured bacterium. Its description in RNAcentral is "partial 16S ribosomal RNA". It matches the Rfam family "Bacterial small subunit ribosomal RNA", at positions 30 to 526 of the family's 1533-position model. The record is from RNAcentral.